UACGGAGGGUGCGAGCGUUAAUCGGAAUUACUGGGCGUAAAGCGCGCGUAGGUGGCUUGAUAAGCCGGUUGGGAAAGCACCGGGUUCAACCUGGGAACGGCAUCCGGAACUGUGAGGCUAGAGUGCAGGGGAGGAAGGUAGAAUUCCCGGUGUAGCGGUGAAAUGCGUAGAGAUCGGGAGGAAUACCAGUGGCGAAGGCGGCCUUCUGGACUGACACUGACACUGAGGUGCGAAAGCGUGGGUAGCAAACAGG
This 253-nucleotide unclassified non-coding RNA is filed under the name uncultured Halomonadaceae bacterium. RNAcentral describes it as "contains 16S-23S intergenic spacer region". It matches the Rfam family "Bacterial small subunit ribosomal RNA", at positions 524 to 776 of the family's 1533-position model. The record is from RNAcentral. Lineage: Bacteria; Pseudomonadati; Pseudomonadota; Gammaproteobacteria; Oceanospirillales; Halomonadaceae.